Long non-coding RNA from Fundulus heteroclitus (mummichog), 426 nucleotides. RefSeq lists it as uncharacterized. NCBI's taxonomy places the organism in Eukaryota, Metazoa, Chordata, Actinopteri, Cyprinodontiformes, Fundulidae. The record is from RefSeq and is a predicted model, not a curated record. The transcript has 3 exons.
CCGGCCUUGAGGGGGGGGUGAUGUCAGGAUGCAGUUCUCCUGCUGCACCAUGGACAGUUCCGGAGCCUUCCACUACCUUCUCUCCCCUGCUUCACUCCAUGCUGGAUCAGUUUCACCUGCUGCAAUAAUCAAGUCUGGACUCAUUCCACCUGUUCAACCUCCUACAUAAACUCCUCUCAUUUCUGCUUUCACUGCUGGUUCGUCAACGUCCUUCCCACGUCUGCUCAUGCCUCACGUCUCCCAGCGUCCUUCGUCCCACAUCGUGUGCUCCCAUCUCCAGCCAGCCUCGUCUCUGCCUUCCUGCCUGCGUUCCCUCAAGUUCCCCGGCUUCGGCUCCACUACGUUCUCCUGCUCCAGCCACGGUCAACAUCACUCUGCUGCCAUCUGGUACAGUCUACUGGUUACCUUUCCACCACUCAUCUCCUU